Long non-coding RNA from Pecten maximus, 2112 nucleotides. RefSeq lists it as uncharacterized. The transcript has 2 exons. The record is from RefSeq and is a predicted model, not a curated record. Lineage: Eukaryota; Metazoa; Mollusca; Bivalvia; Pectinida; Pectinidae.
UGUGGAUGGGGUAUGCUGUGGUGUGUUUGUACUGAAUAUCAGUUGUGUAAUGAUAAUAUGUGUGCUGAAUGUCACGUGUGUGAAGUGAUAACACUAUACUGAACUUUACUUGAUUGUGUGAUAAUGUUGACAGUGUCGUCAACCAGCUGUGUCUUGUCAUGUUAAAGGUGUGAUAAUAUUGACAAUGUCGUCAACCAGCUGUGUCUUGUCAUUUUAAAGGUGUGAUAAUAUUGACAAAUGUCGUCAACCAGCUGUGUCUUGUCAUUUUAAAGGGUCACCAAGUAAGAAGGCCCCACAACCUGUUGUAUGAUAUGGUUGUCACAUACUGUUGUAUGAUAUGGUUGUAACAUACUGUUGUAUGAUAUGGUUGUCACAUACUGUUGUAUGAUAUGGUUGUCACAUACUGUUGUAUGAUAUGGUUGUCACAUACUGUUGUAUGAUAUGGUUGUCACAUACUGUUGUAUGAUGUGGUUGUCACAUACUGUUGUAUGAUGUGGUUGUCACAUACUGUUGUAUGAUGUGGUUGUCACAUACUGUUGUAUGAUGUGGUUGUCACAUACUGUUGUAUGAUGUGGUUGUCACAUACUGUUGUAUGAUAUGGUUGUCACAUACUGUUGUAUGAUAUGGUUGUCACAUACUGUUGUAUGAUAUGGUUGUCACAUACUGUUGUAUGAUAUGGUUGUCACAACCUGUUGUAUGAUAUGGUUGUCACAUACUGUUGUAUGAUAUGGUUGUCACAUACUUUUAUUUAUGUGUUCAGAUUUCUUAACAGCAUUUUGUCAGUUUCCAAGAAUUGAAUUUGAAUUUUUUUUUCUGUUAUUAUUCCUGUGUUAUGAGAUAUCAGAUGAAUACAAUAUUUUUCAUGAUAUUGUCAAGAAGGAUUAUGUUUGUCAAGACCUUGACUAUCACUUAUUUGCAUAAAUGUGCAAUACUGUAUUAUUACAUGUACAAAUGUGUAUAAUGUUAACUUGCAUGUACAGUGUACAAUAUUGUAACUGUAUAAUAAUAGCACAAUUUAAAUAUGUAUUUCUUAUAAUAGAAACAAUGUUGAUUAAUUUAGUUCAGACAUUUUGUAUUCUUCUUGGUGCUUAUACAGUGGACAAUGAAAAUUCAUCUGCAGACAAAAUCACAUUAUAAUUUACAAUAACUGUAAAACUCAUUGUUAUCAAUUCUUAUUUAAAAAAUUUUAAGUUUAAAAGAUGUUAGGUAUAUAAGGUUUUGCAUGAAGAUCAGAAGUCUAAAUAUUUGUCUACUAUUUAUUAAAAUAUGUAUUUAAUUACAUGUAACAAAGACAUGAAUUUAUCCCGGUUUAACCCCAUAUAACUCAUUGUAUUUUAUCAUACAUAUGGUUUAACCCCCUAAUUCAAGGUAUUUAUCGUCUUACUGUUUUAUAACGGUUUAACCCCAUAAUUCAUUGUAUUUCAUUUAAACAAAGGUACAUGUAUUAUAACGGUAUAACCCCGUAAUUCAUUGUAUUUCAUCUUACAUGUUUUAUAAUGGUGUAACCCCAUAAUUCAUUGUAUUUCAUCUUACAUGUAUUAUAAUGGUUUAACCCCGUAAUUCAUUGUAUUUCAUUUUACAUGUACAGUUGUAUUAUAAUGGUUUAACCCCAUAAUUCAUUGUAUUUCAUUUUACAUGUAUUAUAAUGGUUUAACGCCAUAAUUCAUUGUAUUUCAUUUUACAUGUAUUAUAAUGGUUUAACCCCAUAAUUCAUUGUAUUUCAUCUUACAUGUUUUAUAAUGGUUUAACCCCAUAAUUCCGUGUAUGUUGUCUUACAUGUAUAAUAACAGUUUAACCCUAAAAUUCAUUGUAUUUCAGCUAAUUUAAAUACUAAUAGGUCACCAUUAUUACAUUUUUGUUACUGACAAUUUUAUCUUUUUGAGUAUUAUCAAACAUUUUAUAUUUGUUUUCAUGUUUGUUUUAUUGUAUUGUUAAAUAAAUAGUGAAAUAUCUUUAAAAUUAAGUGUUUCUUUUUAUCCUUGCUUUACCAUGUAGAGGUAGCAUUUGAUUUGUUCGUGUUUUAAACUUUCACUUUGAAAGAUGUUAAGCCUCAGUGGUGGAGGUUUGAGGGGAGUUUAUUGGAAUAAAUAAAGUAUUAUUUCCUCUUCCCCA